GGAUUAGAUACCCUGGUAGUCCACGCCGUAAACGAUGUGCACUGGAUCUUGGCGGCUCUGACGUCGUCAGGAUCAAAGCAAAAGUGUUUAGUGCACCGCCUGGGGAGUACGGUCGCAAGACUAAAACUCAAAGGAAUUGACGGGGGCUCACACAAGCGGUGGAGCAUGUGGCUUAAUUCGAGGCAACGCGAAGAACCUUAUCCUGGGUUUGACAUGUACGGAUUAGUUGCUGGAAACAGUAAUGACGCUCUUUGAGUGGAACGUACACAGGUGCUGCAUGGCUGUCGUCAGCUCGUGCCG
Molecule: ribosomal RNA, 300 nt
Filed under: uncultured bacterium
Lineage: Bacteria
Description: bacterial SSU rRNA
Rfam family: Bacterial small subunit ribosomal RNA
Source: RNAcentral